UUACACCGGCGGCUCGGGUGGUAACCGUUAUUAUUGGGUCUAAAGGGUCUGUAGCCGGCCGGAUAAGUCUCUUGGGAAAUCUGGCAGCUUAACUGUCAGGCUUUCAGGAGAUACUGUCUGGCUCGAGGCCGGGAGAGGUGAGAGGUACUUCGGGGGUAGGGGUGAAAUCUUGUAAUCCUUUGAAGGACCACCAGUGGCGAAGGCGUCUCACCAGAACGGACUCUGACGGCAAGGGACGAAAGCUAGGGGCACGAACCGGAUUAGAUACCCGGGUAGUCCUAGUCGUAAACGAUACUCGCUAGGUGUCGGCAAUCGGUGACGACCGUUGUCGGUGCCGUAGGGAAGCCGUGAAGCGAGCCGCCUGGGAAGUACGGUCCGCAAGGCUGAAACUUAAAGGAAUUGGCGGGGGAGCACCACAACGGGUGGAGCUUGCGGUUUAAUUGGAUUCAACGCCGGGAAUCA
Molecule: ribosomal RNA, 462 nt
Filed under: uncultured archaeon
Lineage: Archaea
Description: bacterial SSU rRNA
Rfam family: Archaeal small subunit ribosomal RNA
Source: RNAcentral